UUAGUGGCGAACGGGUGAGUAACACGUGAGUAACCUGCCCUUGACUUCGGGAUAACUCCGGGAAACCGGGGCUAAUACCGGAUAUGAGCUACCUUCGCAUGGGGGUGGUUGGAAAGUUUUUCGGUCAGGGAUGGGCUCGCGGCCUAUCAGCUUGUUGGUGGGGUGAUGGCCUACCAAGGCGACGACGGGUAGCCGGCCUGAGAGGGCGACCGGCCACACUGGGACUGAGACACGGCCCAGACUCCUACGGGAGGCAGCAGUGGGGAAUAUUGCACAAUGGGCGAAAGCCUGAUGCAGCGACGCCGCGUGAGGGAUGAAGGCCUUCGGGUUGUAAACCUCUUUCAGCAGGGAAGAAGCGCAAGUGACGGUACCUGCAGAAGAAGCGCCGGCUAACUACGUGCCAGCAGCCGCGGUAAUACGUAGGGCGCAAGCGUUGUCCGGAAUUAUUGGGCGUAAAGAGCUCGUAGGCGGUUUGUCGCGUCUGGUGUGAAAACUCGAGGCUCAACCUCGAGCUUGCAUCGGGUACGGGCAGACUAGAGUGCGGUAGGGGAGACUGGAAUUCCUGGUGUAGCGGUGGAAUGCGCAGAUAUCAGGAGGAACACCGAUGGCGAAGGCAGGUCUCUGGGCCGCAACUGACGCUG
RNAcentral lists this ribosomal RNA (641 nucleotides) under Cellulosimicrobium sp. I14A-00856. Its description in RNAcentral is "bacterial SSU rRNA". It matches the Rfam family "Bacterial small subunit ribosomal RNA", at positions 92 to 748 of the family's 1533-position model. The record is from RNAcentral. RNAcentral also lists the same sequence under 1 other name. Lineage: Bacteria; Bacillati; Actinomycetota; Actinomycetes; Micrococcales; Promicromonosporaceae.